Molecule: ribosomal RNA, 616 nt
Filed under: Staphylococcus aureus
Lineage: Bacteria; Bacillati; Bacillota; Bacilli; Caryophanales; Staphylococcaceae
Description: partial 23S ribosomal RNA
Rfam family: Bacterial large subunit ribosomal RNA
Source: RNAcentral
CUCCUAAAAGGUAACGGAGGCGCUCAAAGGUUCCCUCAGAAUGGUUGGAAAUCAUUCAUAGAGUGUAAAGGCAUAAGGGAGCUUGACUGCGAGACCUACAAGUCGAGCAGGGUCGAAAGACGGACUUAGUGAUCCGGUGGUUCCGCAUGGAAGGGCCAUCGCUCAACGGAUAAAAGCUACCCCGGGGAUAACAGGCUUAUCUCCCCCAAGAGUUCACAUCGACGGGGAGGUUUGGCACCUCGAUGUCGGCUCAUCGCAUCCUGGGGCUGUAGUCGGUCCCAAGGGUUGGGCUGUUCGCCCAUUAAAGCGGUACGCGAGCUGGGUUCAGAACGUCGUGAGACAGUUCGGUCCCUAUCCGUCGUGGGCGUAGGAAAUUUGAGAGGAGCUGUCCUUAGUACGAGAGGACCGGGAUGGACAUACCUCUGGUGUACCAGUUGUCGUGCCAACGGCAUAGCUGGGUAGCUAUGUGUGGACGGGAUAAGUGCUGAAAGCAUCUAAGCAUGAAGCCCCCCUCAAGAUGAGAUUUCCCAACUUCGGUUAUAAGAUCCCUCAAAGAUGAUGAGGUUAAUAGGUUCGAGGUGGAAGCAUGGUGACAUGUGGAGCUGACGAAUACUAA